GUGCACCCCUGCUGCAUGAGGCUCAGCCCCAGGGGUCCAACAGAGGUCACAGUCACAGCACAGAAUGGAAGGCUUGCAGGGAGGGCUGCCCUGGAGGGCAGAGUGAAAGCAGGGGAAAGCUGCAGCCUUUCUUCUUCGUCCUCCUUGGGGAGCUAAUUACAGGCCAGCAGCCACUGUGCAGGUGAGCUGUGGACAGCAGCAGCCCAAGGACGCUAUCAGGGAUGCUCUGGAGGAGCCAAAGGCAGAAAUGUGAACCUUACGCUGAGGCCACGGAGAGUGAGGGCUCUCAGAGGAACCCCUGCUCGCCACCAUCCCGGGGAGGGGCCUUUCUCUCUCCCAGAAUGAAUCCCUUGUAACCUCCUGGGAUCUUUCUUUUCAUCACAAGAACCAAAUAAAGAAACUUGAAGAUCUUCUA
This 415-nucleotide long non-coding RNA is filed under the name Homo sapiens (human). RNAcentral's name for it is "non-protein coding LRP1-AS:3". Lineage: Eukaryota; Metazoa; Chordata; Mammalia; Primates; Hominidae. The record is from RNAcentral.